This 253-nucleotide ribosomal RNA is filed under the name uncultured bacterium. RNAcentral's name for it is "partial 16S ribosomal RNA". It matches the Rfam family "Bacterial small subunit ribosomal RNA", at positions 524 to 776 of the family's 1533-position model. The record is from RNAcentral.
UACGUAGGGUGCGAGCGUUAAUCGGAAUUACUGGGCGUAAAGGGCGCGUAGGCGGUCUGCUAAGUUGGAUGUGAAAACUCUGGGCUUAACCCAGAGCCUGCAUUCAAUACUGACAGGCUAGAGUUCUGGAGGGGAUAGCGGAAUUCCUGGUGUAGCGGUGAAAUGCGUAGAUAUCAGGAGGAACACCGGUGGCGAAGGCGGCUAUCUGGACAGAGUCUGACGCUGAGGCGCGAAAGCUAGGGGAGCAAACAGG